AAAUGUCCAGUGGUCAAAGUCUGAACACACUGCGCUUCACUGAGUUAAACUUUCCUGUGGAUCCUGGUUUCUUUCCCACAGAUCUUGUCAGAACCUCUGAGAUGCAGUGGGGCCUGUGAGCCUCUAUGAGGGAGUCACAGUUUAUGCGUUUGCCAAACUCAUUCACCCUGGGAAUAUUUUCAUCCAACAUCCAUGAACCCCUCCGGAACUGCAGAUGGCCAGGCUCUCUGAUUUGAGAAGUCCUUUCCUAGAUGUUUCUGAAGCUUUUCGAGCUGAGAUUUCGUGAUUCUGGAGAGGAACCUGCUAGGGAUAGAAGACCCUUCUCCUACGAAAUCCACAAGGCUAGGCCUGCCUUGUCCACGUCCGAGGAAGGGCCAGAUCCUGAGGCUUGCAGCAAACACCUUCAUGAACCCCAUCUUCACCUUUGGCUGGCGGAAGAGGCUCGGAGGUUAUUUGAGCUGGUUUCCAGCUGGGACUCUGGGGACCAGAGAGGAAGACACGCAUAUCAAAGCCAAACAGAAUGCUUCGGUGUGAGCCUCUUGCAGGGUCAUUGACAGAAUGUCUGCUGGCAGGGGUGGUCCGUAUCAUCUCUUUGAC
Non-coding RNA from Sus scrofa (pig), 597 nucleotides. The record is from RefSeq and is a predicted model, not a curated record. NCBI's taxonomy places the organism in Eukaryota, Metazoa, Chordata, Mammalia, Artiodactyla, Suidae.